GAUGAACGCUGGCGGCGUGCCUAAUACAUGCAAGUCGAGCGAACAGACGAGGAGCUUGCUCCUCUGACGUUAGCGGCGGACGGGUGAGUAACACGUGGAUAACCUACCUAUAAGACUGGGAUAACUUCGGGAAACCGGAGCUAAUACCGGAUAAUAUAUUGAACCGCAUGGUUCAAUAGUGAAAGACGGUUUUGCUGUCACUUAUAGAUGGAUCCGCGCCGCAUUAGCUAGUUGGUAAGGUAACGGCUUACCAAGGCAACGAUGCGUAGCAGACCUGAGAGGGUGAUCGGCCACACUGGAACUGAGGCACGGUCCAGACUCCUACGGGAGGCAGCAGUAGGGAAUCUUCCGCAAUGGGCGAAAGCCUGACGGAGCAACGCCGCGUGAGUGAUGAAGGUCUUCGGAUCGUAAAACUCUGUUAUUAGGGAAGAACAAAUGUGUAAGUAACUAUGCACGUCUUGACGGUACCUAAUCAGAAAGCCACGGCUAACUACGUG
Molecule: ribosomal RNA, 497 nt
Filed under: uncultured bacterium
Lineage: Bacteria
Description: partial 16S ribosomal RNA
Rfam family: Bacterial small subunit ribosomal RNA
Source: RNAcentral